This is a non-coding RNA of Xenopus laevis (African clawed frog), 137 nucleotides long. The record is from Rfam. Lineage: Eukaryota; Metazoa; Chordata; Amphibia; Anura; Pipidae.
AAAAAGGGCUUGUGCUGUGUAUAGCACAUCGUGGUUCUCUCUUGUAGGGGAUCGCGGUGCGGAAUCGAUAUCAAGAGAUUUCGAAAGCGUAAUUUUUGAUAACUGGGCUGCUCGUGGUCGUUAUCCUGGGCGCCCAA